UUCCAUGAGAAACGGCUACCACAUCUAAGGAAGGCAGCAGGCGCGUAAAUUACCCAAUCCUGACUCAGGGAGGUAGUGACAAGAAAUAGCAAACCGGGAACCUCAUGGUUUCACGGUAUUGCAAUGAGAACAAUUUAAAACCCUUAGCGAGAAUCAAGUGGAGGACAAGUCUGGUGCCAGCACCCGCGGUAAUUCCAGCUCCACUAGCGUAUAUUAAAGUUGUUGCAGUUAAAAAGCUCGUAGUUGAACCUCUGUCUGGGGCUAGUUUUGGCUUUGGUCAGGCUAGUUCUAGGCAUCCGCCUACAAGACUUAGAGGGCAUUCAGUUGUUCACUAGGAGGAGUAGGCAUUUUACUUUGAAAAAAUUAGAGUGUUUAAGGCAGGCAAUCGCCCGCAUAUAUUAGCAUGGAAUAAUAGAAUAGGACACUUUUCCAUUUCGUUGGUUAUUGGAAUCGUGUAAUGAUUAAUAGGGACAGUUGUGGGCAUUUGUAUUUAAUUGUCAGAGGUGAAAUUCUUGGAUUUAUUAAAGACAAACUAACGCGAAAGCGUUUGCCAAGGAUGUUUUCAUUAAUCAAGAACGAAAGUUAGGGGAUCAAAGACGAUCAGAUACCGUCCUAGUCUUAACUAUAAACUAUUCCGACUCAAUGUUUGACUGGCUUAUAUAACCAGUUGAGCGUUGUAUGAGAAAUCAAAGUCUUUAGGUUCUGGGGGGAGUAUGGUUGCAAAGCUGAAACUUAAAGGAAUUGACGGAAGAGCACAACCAGGAGUGGAUUCUGCGGCUUAAUUUGACUCAACACGGGGAAACUUACCAGGUUAAAACAAUAGUGGGAUUGACAGUUUGAGAGCGCUUUCUUGAUUGGUUGGGUGGUGGUGCAUGGCCGUUCUUAGUUGGUGGAGUGAUUUGUCUGCUUAAUUGCGUUAACGAACGAGACCUUAACCUGCUUACUAGACUGGCGAUCAUCAAUCGUUAGCUCUUCUUAGAGGGACUUUGGUUGUUUUAACUCCAAGGAAGUUUGAGGCAAUAACAGGUCUGUGAUGCCCUUAGAUAUCCUGGGCCGCACGCGUCAUACAAUGACUAGUUCAGAAAGUUUUCUCCUGACCCGAAAGGGGAUGGGUAAUCUUGAUAAUACUAGUCGUGUUAGGGAUCGAUCUUUGCAAUUAUAGAUCUUGAACGAGGAAUUCCUAGUAAGUGCGGUUCAUCAGACCGUACUGAUUACGUCCCUGCUCUUUGUACACACCGCCCGUCGCUUCUACCGAGUGGGUGGUCCGGUGAGAUAAUUGAACUUCGCAGGUAACUGAGAGGAGAGAUUAUCAAACCUAUCCACCUCGAGGAAGAAGAAGUCGUAACAAGGUU
Molecule: ribosomal RNA, 1352 nt
Filed under: metagenome
Description: SSU rRNA
Rfam family: Eukaryotic small subunit ribosomal RNA
Source: RNAcentral